CAUCAAUAUUGGCUGUGACAU
RNAcentral lists this microRNA (21 nucleotides) under Echinococcus granulosus. Its description in RNAcentral is "egr-miR-2d-5p". Its record names the gene egr-miR-2d-5p. Lineage: Eukaryota; Metazoa; Platyhelminthes; Cestoda; Cyclophyllidea; Taeniidae. The record is from miRBase by way of RNAcentral.